AUAAAGACAUAAAGAGACCAGGUGAUCUCUCCAACGGUCUCCAGCUCUAGCAUUCUGUGGAUUCGUGCGGGUUUUGUUCCAAAUUCCGCCAUCUACUUCCUGAGGGAGGCCGCUGCUCCCCUUCCUAAGAGGGAAAAUGACCUUUGUGCACCAACCGGUGGCCUGCACACUCUGGGUGCUCCAUAUACUUGGUGGUGGGAUGCCAAGGAUCCAGCCCAGGGUGGAAAUCUCCACCAGCACUGGAGUGCACGUUCUGUUCCAGCCACCGCUCCAGCUCCUAGGUGCAUGGACUGAUUUCACCCCACAACAGUCCUGUGAGGCAGGUACUGUUACUAGCCCUGUCUUACAGGUGAGGCCGCUGAGGCUCAGGGAACUGAGCCCGAGGCCGCAGAGCUGGUGGCAAAGCUGAGAUUAGAGCCCAGGUGGUCCGGCAGGCAGCCUAGCCCACAUUCUUAGCAGCUCCCUACCUCAGGCCCUCCCCCAAGCCCCUGGCCCGAUGGAGCCCAGCUUCUGUGCCCUCCCAGCCCUGCCCCUCCUCUGUCAGGAGCACAGGAAACCCGGCCUUGUUUGGGGUUGGGCAAGGCAGGGCUGGUUUCUUGGAGUCCCUCCUGUAAUAGGCAGUGGAGGGGAGAGCAGUGUGGAUUAUUGACCCUGAGCCCAGAAGAGAAGGAGAACAGAGGGGAUGAGGAGAUGAGUGUGAGCGGAGGUCAGUGGCGACUGGUUGUAAGAGCUGGAAGGAUUAGGGACAGCAGAUGGGGCGGGUCCCCUCUAACUCCCCCCUCAAACAACCCCAGCCACGCCAGCCACAUGGCUGGCCACGGUAUUAGAAGAAACCUCCCCAAAGCACCCAAAAGGGAUGUGCCAGCAAGAGCAGCUGCAUUCUCCUAUUAAAUUCCUCACGGGGCUGUGGGACCCCAAGUCAACAAGAGGGGGUUCUAGGAAAGUGUGAUUAAGGGCCCCACGACUGUAUUUAUCUGACACCCAACAUCUGGAUGAAACGUGACAAAUCAUCAUUGUCAAGGUUUCUGUCUUUCUUUUCUUUUUUCGUUUCUUUUUUUUUUUCCUGUACAAAGCUCUAGGUAUUUAGAAGCAUCUGGGUGAUGGGCUGGCUGGUUCUGCUUUUUGUCCAGAUGUUCAGCGUUCCCUAGGUUCAGCCUGAUGGUGGUUGCUGUAGAGACAGGUUCAAAUUGAGGAGGCCAGGGGAUCGUGAGGGAGGAGAGGUGGCACUUCUGCCCUGUGGAACCUUCUGCCCCUUGGCUCACUCUGUCCUCACCAGAAAAUUUGUUCUCCCCAACCCCCGCCAGGUGCAUGAAGCUAAGAGACACUGCCUUUUAUACAACAUCUUCCGCUGGGAAUCGGCCCGGCCCAGCACAAAAUUAGCUGGCGUCUUACGGCUCCUGGAUUAUGCA
This 1409-nucleotide long non-coding RNA is filed under the name Felis catus (domestic cat). Its description in RNAcentral is "lncRNA (ENSFCAG00000049937.1)". Lineage: Eukaryota; Metazoa; Chordata; Mammalia; Carnivora; Felidae. The record is from RNAcentral.